UUUUUUUAUUUUUUUUUUUUACUUGUGGCAAAGAAGCUUGUCCUAUUUUGCAAGUUUAUUGAAAAAGGCAGGAGUUUAAAAACCCUAACACCUUGAAAACUCAAUUUUAAAUUUAUAGCGUAGCUUUGUAUUCUCUUUGAAACCAAAGACAAAUUUCCUACUGAUUUUAUCAGGAGCAAUAUAAAGGUCUGCAAAGAUAAGUAAUGUUCUUUCUCUCUCAUGUGAAAACAUGUCAUUGGGUUCCUCCCUGGAUAGUUUUGGCUAUAUCAUUACAAACAUACACCAAGGACUGAAUGUGGCCUCGCAAUGAAAAACAUUUUGUUUAUUCAAUUUGCAAACCUCAGAAUGAAGGCCCUACUGGCCCUGAAAUGGGAAGGAGGAAUACAGAGCAGGCUGCCAUGCAAGGUAGGAUGACUCCUUCCAUGAAUAGAGGGUGUCCAGGAAGUCAGUACCCAGAGAGAUAAUUUUGAGCUACAGUAUUUCAUGUUUGCCCUUACAUCUGUCACAUGGCUUGUCCUCAGAGUUGCUGAGUGAUAAGUGCCCCUAAAAAUCCUUUUCUCUGUUGCAGGGGAGCUAGUGUGGAUUCAGUCAUCUACCUUAACUCUCAGAUCUGAAACUCCUGCUGAGAAGCUUUGUUGGUUUGGGUGGAAGAUGUCAUCAAGUGUUUUUCAGAGAAGAGUGGCACUUUAACAGCCAACUCAAAAGGAGGGAAUUUCCUUUCCAGGCAGAAUGAGCAGACUUGGUGUGAGAACCAUAUGGAAGGGAAGAAGUAUCCCAGACCCAAGAUGCAAGUUUAUGGAUUGAAAGACAGGAGGCCAAACACCGAAACAGUAUCUAACGAAAUGUGAUUGUACGGAGAUGUGCACAAAGGCUGUGACAAGAUGGUCUUCAGUGAUGCGGUUGAGAUGUAAAGGUCACUGUCUGCAAAAUUUCUUGCUACUGUGGAGAAUCAUUCAAAUACCAACCUGCUUGGAGCAUCUCCUAACGCGCCUGGGUCCUAGAGUUGCCGCGGAUAGCUGCCGAAUCCGGACCGCAGGUGCGUUGGUGGUGACGAAAUAACGGGCUUCCACAGAGGCGGGUGUCUCCCAGGCGGCUUUAUUUCCAAGGGUUCGUAAGAGGGAAAACGAGGCAAGGGACGAGGGGAACAACCACUCGGAAGGAAAGCCAGCUCUGAGAGCCCCAAACCAGGGGUGGAGCAGAGAUUAUAACUAUAACUGGGUAGGAGGGUCAGGGUACAAAACGUCCAACUAGGUGAGGGCUUGAGGGCAGAAUCAGGGAAGAGCGACAGGGCAACAGCCAACUGGGAUGGAGGGAAGGGAUGGCUUCGAGGGGAGAACCAACGGGGGUACAGAGAACUAAGAACUUUCCAGAACUGGGGGAAGGAAUACACAAUGAUGGACAGGAGUAAAGAGAAGGGAUAACAAAAGACUGACAACCAGGGAAGGCGGGAAACUAAAUGUCAGUUGCCUCCCAAGGCAGAGCAGGGGGGCCAUCAGCCGCAUCCCCUCCCACAAUCUCCAGCUUUUCCACUGUUCUUGAAAAGGUAAUAAGUAAGGUUCAUUAAUAAUGGUACUAAAGUACAAGACAAACAUGGUACUGAUGGAAAUAGUUAAACCCAAAUUCCUUGCUGAGGCUGAACUGAAGUGCCUGUUAUGCCAUGACACAUUCUGAAAUUAGGCUGAACAACGUAAUUUCUAGUUGUGGAUUCUACGGAUCCUCCUUGCAUAUUGCAAAAAGCCAAAUCAGAAAAUGAAAAAGAUUGGUGCCAAUUGUUUGGGGAAGUCAUUGUUUGUCUGCAUUUAGCAAGAAAGGGACACCAUUUGGCAGCAUGGGGUGCCACCACAUUGGUUCCAGAUAAUAAUCACUGUGAAUUGAGUAGUAAGGAGAGCUGCCCAUUGACCAGCAUUGAUUGCUGUCCUCAACAGGUGCUAAUGUUCAGAGGGCAGAUCACAGCUGCUUGCACAAGAUUCCCAUUAUCAUUUGCUGGGUAUUGAUUCUUCCUUUGGGAUGUUUCCUUUCUAACUGUGUUAAUUUUCCGAUCACAUAUUUGAUUUGGUCUGCGCCGAAAGGGGCGAGAAGAGGUGCCUUGCCUAUGUUUAAUGACCUUCCUUGUCCCCCUGCUCCCUCCCUCCCUCACCAGUCUCUCAAAUCUUUAGAGACCAUGUCUGCUGGGAUCCAAGUUUCCUCUAAUUAUGGUGCUCAUUAAUGGACAGACUCUAUGAAGAAUACCAGUACUACUCUUGUAAUUGCUUCAGGUGCACUCAAAAAUUAAUCAGAAAGUACACAAUGGGGUUUUUGUUUUGGUGUGUUUUAUUUUGAAUCCUUUCUAAGUCUGAAGACUUGGUGCCUGUGUGUAGAGCUCACACAAGCGUAAAAAGGAAAGGAUGGGAAAGUAGUUGUGGAGCCGCCAGGACGGGGACUGUUGUGUCCCUUCAGCACUAUUUUGGUGCUGCACACAAUUAAUUAGCUGAUGGACCUCAGGUACUAUCAAACCAGAAUGACAGUGUUAUACAUUCAUUUUGCAUGGGUAUAAACACCUUUCAGGGUUGACUGGGUAUAUGGACUUGUCUUUCUGUAGGUGUCUGCAUAGUGCUUAGAGCUGUGUUGGGAUCUUGCAGAAUCUUUGUACUACAUAAAGCUGCUUAUAAGAAUUGUGCCUCAGUUCUCUACUUCAAUCAGUCAAAGAAGUCUAAUCCAUAAUUGUUUCAGAGGAGGGAGUAAUAGCAUAUUACAAAAAAAAUUUUGUCCAGGAUUUUUCUUGUUUUGGCAGAUAUAACCACAUCAGUGCAAAUAUUACCUUCACAUAUGAAUAAACAUUAUUAAUUUUAUCUAUGUAGCCAGGGAGUGGAACAAUUAAUUUAGGUUCUCUGAACAAAUUAUACUUUUGCACAGAAAAAUGGACACCAGUUUCCGAGCCAUCCUUAAUGCAUCUUUGUUUUCUGUGGUCUGCAUAGAAAGGAAAGGGUACAUCUGAACCUAGUUAGCCACAGAGUAAAAAUAGUUGUGGUGUUUCUGUAAUCAAUAACAAGCAAAAGAUGUAUGCAAUUAUCUUCAGCUCCACAAUUGAAAUGGCCAGGUAGUCAUUUAUAGCUGAAUGUUAGAGUGCAACUUAGAUUAAAACCUCUGCAACCUUUUUGCCAAUAUUUCUGGGUUCCUUGUGGUGUCAACAAAUGCAGCGUUAUUAUAAAAGUAACUCCACUUUGAGCUUCAUGGUACCAGAGUGGUUACCUCACCCUGGAAGCACGAAGUCCCAAAGAUUGUAUUCCAACAUUAGGAAUUUUCUUCUUUUUUAGAACAUAUUUCCUAUACUCUAUGUGCAUGGCUUUAGAAUGAUGUAGUCUACAGACAUGAAUUUUGGGGUACCCUUUUUAACUCUGGCAGGUUCACAGUCCACCUUACAAAAAUGAAGUAUGGGUGGGUGUAUUAAAAAAGGAUGUGAAAAUACACAAAACAGUACAUAAUUGAAAAGAAAAUGGUAGGGGACUUCAGCAGCAUCUGAACAGCAAGGAGAGGAUAUGUUCCUCUUUUCAUUUUUCUACUGCUGAAGUUGCUUUACCUUUAAUGCACAAGAGCUUCUGCUCAUCUUGGUUUCCCAGGACUGCAAUUGCUUCUGUGGUUGCUGGAGUGAGUAGCUUGUGCUGCAGUGCAUGCAGGAUUGAAAGAGAUGGUUUAAUCCUCGGUUGCAGCACAUCAGCUCAUUUAAGCAUCUGUAGUGAUGCAAGUGUGGACAAGGGUACAAGUCAUCUCAUUAACUGAUAACUGCUGUAUGUUGGAGAGUGCAGACUUAAGCUACUCCUGAAAUGAAAAAAGCCAUCUGUUUAAGAUCAACUGGGACAUGAAAUUUAAAAAGUAAAAGAAAAAAAAAAAAAAAAA
Taeniopygia guttata (zebra finch) is the source of this 3873-nucleotide long non-coding RNA. The record is from Ensembl. Lineage: Eukaryota; Metazoa; Chordata; Aves; Passeriformes; Estrildidae.